AACGCGAAGAACCUUACCAGGUCUUGACAUCCUGGGAAAUUCCCAGAGAUAGGUUUUUUCCCUUGGGACCAGAGUCACAGGUGGUGCAGGGUUGUUUUCAGCUCGUUUCGUGAGAUUUGGGUUAAUAGUCCCGGAACGAGCCCACCCCUUGAUUUUAUUUCCCAGCAUUCAGUUGGGCACUCUAAGGUGACUGCCGGUGACAAACCGGAGGAAGGUGGGGAUGACGUCAAAUCAUCAUGCCCCUUAUGACCUGGGCUACACACGUGCUACAAUGGUGGGUACAAAGGGGAGCGAGCCCGCGAGGGUAAGCCAAUCCCAUAAAGCCGUUCUCAGUUCGGAUUGGAGUCUGCAACUCGCCUGCAUGAAGUCGGAAUCGCUAGUAAUCGCGGAUCAGCAUGCCGCGGUGAAUACGUUCCCGGGCCUUGUACACACCG
RNAcentral lists this ribosomal RNA (434 nucleotides) under uncultured bacterium. RNAcentral's name for it is "bacterial SSU rRNA". It matches the Rfam family "Bacterial small subunit ribosomal RNA", at positions 958 to 1392 of the family's 1533-position model. The record is from RNAcentral.